UUAGGAUUAAAUCAUUUUUAUUGACAUUGAGUUGUGUUUGUUGGAGAUGGCUAAGCUUACUUUAAUGCAUAUUUUUGUUCUUUUCCUUUUGCUUGCAGGUUAAUUCUAGAUAGUGUAACAAUAUCUGCUUUCUUGAUAUUUAUCUAUGUAUGAUUUGCAAAACAUAUCACAGUUUAAUCACCAAUGCUAUUUGUAUAAUUGGUGGGACACUUUGGUUUUUAUAUCACAUAAUAAGAGUACAUUGUUUUAUAAAAUGAAAAAUCAUGUGACUUAUUAAAUUAAAGUUUGAUGAGAUUUAGCAUGCCUAAAAUUAUAAUUCUUGCCUAUAGUAACUUUGUUUUUGAAAUUUCAGGUAUUUUCAUCACAAGUGAAGCAAAUGCCGGUAGUACGAGGCCACCUAGAAGAAAGAUAGUAAAGUUUACUACAGGUGGUUGCAAUCCUACAAUAUGUAAACGUGAAUGUCAAAUGUAUGGUAGGACUCGUGCUAAUGUAGACGGAUAUUGCGAUAAUGACAAUUGCAUGUGUACUUAUGAUGUCUGAUAUGUUUGUACCCUUCUUAAAUGAAGAAUGAAUAAAAACUGAUUAUGU
This 588-nucleotide long non-coding RNA is filed under the name Lupinus angustifolius (narrow-leaved blue lupine). Its description in RNAcentral is "long non-coding RNA (LANG_LNC001315)". Lineage: Eukaryota; Viridiplantae; Streptophyta; Magnoliopsida; Fabales; Fabaceae. The record is from RNAcentral.